Molecule: long non-coding RNA, 742 nt
Filed under: Mytilus galloprovincialis (Mediterranean mussel)
Lineage: Eukaryota; Metazoa; Mollusca; Bivalvia; Mytilida; Mytilidae
Source: RNAcentral
CGAGCCACUUGAUCAAUAAAUCAAUCUGUUCCGAGUCAGAUACUUGUAACUCGUCUGUCACGUUUUUAAAGCUUGCUUUCCAUGUAUGGAAGGAUUCUGCCCGAUCGUUAAAGCUUGUUAAUCGGGAGAAAAGCAGGUCCUUACGCAAGAGAAAUCUAGUAAUCUCCGAUGUUGGGUUGAUUUGUUGCUGGUGUGCAACAGGGAUCUCUUCUAUUACGCCUUGUUUUUGGUGUGAAACAGGGAUCUCUUCUAUAACGUCUUGUUUUGUGCGUAAGACAGGGAUCGCUUCUUUAACACCCUGUUUUUGGUGUUCAGCAGGGAUCUCAUCUGAAAGGCCUAGUUUUUGUAUGCCGGUUACUAAUCCCAGAUCUGGGAUAGAGGUAACUUCCGGUGACUUAGUAUCGGAAGGCAAGACAGCAGAUGUCUGUGACAGUAAGUUCAGUGCCACGGAUGGCACGAACGCUGGUGCUUCGUGACUCAGCUCGAUAUGAACAGGAAUUUGUUUUUUCUUUUGAGGUCCUGUUACUUCCUUUACAGCAGUUGAUACAGGAAGUUUAUUUACGAAAUCUUGCACACGCUGGAGCGGGUCUUCCUUUUCGUUAGGGAGAUCGCUAAACGCUUGGCUGUCGUCGUAUUCCAGGAUACGAGCCUCGGCUUCUGCGGCUGCAGCCUCUCUGCGUGCUUCUAGAAGGUUUAACUUGGCCUUCAGCUCGGCUUUUUCUCGGCUAACACGUGCAGCCUC